Molecule: long non-coding RNA, 920 nt
Organism: Syngnathoides biaculeatus (alligator pipefish)
Lineage: Eukaryota; Metazoa; Chordata; Actinopteri; Syngnathiformes; Syngnathidae
Exons: 5
Source: RefSeq, a predicted model, not a curated record
GACAAACGCGCACAAAAACUUUUCAAGGUUUGGUCUCGGCAAAAGAAUCCGUCGACGCGUCGCUCUCACCUGGUUCCGUUCAGGUGCUCGCUGUGAUGGGAUGAUGAACAACAACAACAGGAAGUACAAGUGCAGGAUGCGUGCGGCGCGAGGACUCACGCGGCGGCGUGGGCCACGACGAGGAGGUCGCGGUUGUCGAGGAGGGCGGCGUGCGGCAGCUCCACCAGCGCCAGGUACGAAAGCUCCAUGGCCAGCAUGAGCAGCAGCUUGCCCAGGCUGUGAGCCUGCAGGAACACCGAGCACGCCAGCAGGCUCAGCACCACGCACCACGAAAAGUACUGAGGGGGGAGGAGACACAAAAGCCGCUUUUAACGCUUGGACCGCCGCGCCUCAAUCCGUCACGACUCACAUGGGCAUGAUGACAACAUGGAUGCAGCAGAUGAAGACGAAGACGAGGGAGGCACAUGCCACGUACACGCCGAAGCGCGAGUCCACUUGUCGGGAGUACUGCACGGGCAAACAUCACAAGUGACCUUCCGAGUUAUGAUGCCCGACGUCAAGACGGAGACGAGGACCGGCGCCGACCUUGCUCUCCAGGUCGGCCUCCCGGAAGAUCUUGUGAAACAUCAUGUCUUCCUGCUUGGCGUUGAUGUCUGCCUUCAUCUCCAUGGCAACGUGGCGGGGAAGCACCGACAAUAGCAGACGCUCCUGAAAAAAAAGACCCGCCCCACACAUAAAAAAAGAAAGAAAGAAAGCAAAAAUCCAGAUGUGAUGACCUUGUUUAUUAAGGCGAGCUUGGAUGCAUUCCCGCGUCUCCCGGAAGGCCUGCCUCUGAGAGCCCUCCGCCGGGUAAUGUGUACAAACACCCACGAUGUUGGUGCACGAGAAAAUCAGCACAUUGGACACCAGCUGCAACACAA